This 310-nucleotide ribosomal RNA is filed under the name uncultured Desulfuromonadales bacterium. RNAcentral's name for it is "bacterial SSU rRNA". It matches the Rfam family "Bacterial small subunit ribosomal RNA", at positions 505 to 814 of the family's 1533-position model. The record is from RNAcentral. Lineage: Bacteria; Pseudomonadati; Thermodesulfobacteriota; Desulfuromonadia; Desulfuromonadales.
GUGCCAGCAGCCGCGGUAAUACGGAGGGUGCGAGCGUUGUUCGGAAUUAUUGGGCGUAAAGCGCGUGUAGGCGGCCUUUUAAGUCUGAUGUGAAAGCCCCGGGCUCAACCUGGGAAGUGCAUUGGAAACUGGAAGGCUUGAGUACGGGAGAGGGUAGUGGAAUUCCGAGUGUAGGGGUGAAAUCCGUAGAUAUUCGGAGGAACACCGGUGGCGAAGGCGGCUACCUGGACCGAUACUGACGCUGAGACGCGAAAGCGUGGGGAGCAAACAGGAUUAGAUACCCUGGUAGUCCACGCCGUAAACGAUGGGU